RNAcentral lists this ribosomal RNA (433 nucleotides) under uncultured bacterium. RNAcentral's name for it is "partial 16S ribosomal RNA". It matches the Rfam family "Bacterial small subunit ribosomal RNA", at positions 29 to 507 of the family's 1533-position model. The record is from RNAcentral.
AGCGAACGCUGGCGGCAGGCCUAACACAUGCAAGUCGAACGGAUCCUUCGGGAUUAGUGUCGUACGGGUUUGUCACCCGUGGGAACGUUCCCUUUGGUUCGACACAACUCAGGGACACUUAAGCUAAUACCGAAUGUGCCCUUCGGGGGAAAGAUUUAUCGCCAUUGGAGCGGCCCGCGUCUGAUUCGCUAGUUGGUGAGGUAACGGCCCACCAAGGCGACGAUCAGUAGCUGGUUUGAGAGGAUGAUCAGCGACACUGGGAGUGGGACACGGCCCAGAAUCCUACGGGAGGCAGCAGUGGGGAAUGUUGCGCAAUGGGGGAAAGGCUGACGCAGCCAGGCCGGGUGAAUGAUGAAGGUAUUAGGAUUGUAAAAUGCUUGCAGCGGGGAAGAUAAUGACGGUACCCGCAGAAGAAGCGACGGCUAACUUCGUG